CCAGACAUUGCCUCAUUACCAUCUCAUCCAAGAAGUAUGUCUUGCAACAAAUUCUGAACUGCUACUAGACUGGUGACCUAAAAAAUGUCAUGGGCACCUUGUAAACAGAUUUCUGCAAAGCUUUGGAGUUUCUCAUAACAUCCUUGUGGACAAGAUGGAGAAAGUUAACCUGCGUGGAUUAUAAAUUUGCCAAACAAUCCAAAUGCCCAAGAUAGCGAAGACACAAUCGUGCCAGCAUGGAAAGUGGUUCCUUACAGAGUACAGCAGAGUUUGGCUAGGGGUCGUCUUAAUAAGCCAGAAGAUGAGGGAGGAAAGAAGAUGGAAGGGUACCUACUUCUUAACCACCUCAGCCAACAAGUUAUAUGUGCCAGAUUCCAUUCAUGAGAGCUAAUCAUAUAUCUCCACCGAAGUCCAAGAGGAAUUGGAAAGUGCAGUUCUUGGCUGCUUCCAAAAAGCCACUCCCCAGUAACUACCCUUCACUCUGAAAGGGGAAUGCAGAUCCUUGGUAAAGAGCCAACCAUCACUACUGCUAUCGGAUAAUAAAGUAAAUGGGCUUUAAGUUCUAACUCCAAUUUUCAUGGCUCUCAACUUUUGUAAAGGUUUAGCACACGAAAUACCCACUUGCAAUUAACUGCAAACUCUCCAAAUUUCUAAUUUGAACACAUUAAUCAUAAGCUCUUACACCAGACUUUAUGGACUCGAAGGGCAAGAACUGACUCCUCUGAACCUUGGUUGCCCAGGGUACCCUCUCUCCUGCCUUUAAGUUGCUUCCCAAAAAAUACCUGUUGAGUGAAUGAAUUGGGCAUUAUGUUAUCCAGGGUUCCCUAUACAAAAUGAGCCUGAAUUCAACCCUGAGUUCAAUGUCAAGGAUGUUUGUUUCUCAAGGUAAAUUUCUACCCCAUCUCUGCUCCUACCACAUUAAGCUAGUGGUGGUUCUGUGAGCAUGUGAUAUUGUGGUCCUUCACACAUAUCUAGACACAACUUCCUCUGCCUAGAUUGUUCUAUCCCCAUAUUCACCUAGAAAAUGCCUUCCCCUCCCUCAAGAGUUGGCUCAAGAAUGACCAUGUCUCCUCCACGUAGUCCUACCCAAUUCUUCCU
Molecule: long non-coding RNA, 1098 nt
Organism: Camelus dromedarius (Arabian camel)
Lineage: Eukaryota; Metazoa; Chordata; Mammalia; Artiodactyla; Camelidae
Exons: 3
Source: RefSeq, a predicted model, not a curated record